AGCGCUUCUCAGUCUUUUGGCUAAGAGCAAGUGUAGUAUCUGUCCUUAUCAGUUUAAUAGCUGAUACACCCUCUCUCCUUGUACAAUAUAUUCAAUGGGUUUUUGGAGCAGGGAGAUGGAAUAGGAGCUUGUUCUGUGGAAUCUGCGCAUCAACCUGGUGUUGCAGUACCUCCAGCCACGGUGCAUCCCCU
Equus asinus (donkey) is the source of this 191-nucleotide small nuclear RNA. Its record names the gene U2. It matches the Rfam family "U2 spliceosomal RNA". Rfam says of the family: U2 is a small nuclear RNA (snRNA) component of the spliceosome (involved in pre-mRNA splicing). Lineage: Eukaryota; Metazoa; Chordata; Mammalia; Perissodactyla; Equidae. The record is from Ensembl.